AGCUAAAUAGUCACAGGCAAGAUAUUAUAAUUUGCAACUAUAUAACAGCUUACUAAAGCCUUGUCUA
Molecule: transfer RNA, 67 nt
Filed under: Pallenopsis patagonica
Lineage: Eukaryota; Metazoa; Arthropoda; Pycnogonida; Pantopoda; Pallenopsidae
Description: tRNA-Ala
Source: RNAcentral